Molecule: unclassified non-coding RNA, 202 nt
Filed under: plant metagenome
Description: partial contains small subunit ribosomal RNA and internal transcribed spacer 1
Rfam family: Eukaryotic small subunit ribosomal RNA (bases 1-46)
Source: RNAcentral
AAGUCGUAACAAGGUUUCCGUAGGUGAACCUGCGGAAGGAUCAUUACAGAGUUCAUGCCCUCACGGGUAGAUCUCCCACCCUUGAAUAUUAUACCUUAGUUGCUUUGGCAGGCCGUGGAAACACCAUGGGCCGUCAGGCUUUCGCGCGCGAAAAGAACAAUUACCGUGUUUAGUCUAUGUCUGAUGAUCAUAGUAAACUUAA